This is a long non-coding RNA of Centrocercus urophasianus (Greater sage-grouse), 739 nucleotides long. RefSeq lists it as uncharacterized. Lineage: Eukaryota; Metazoa; Chordata; Aves; Galliformes; Phasianidae. The transcript has 3 exons. The record is from RefSeq and is a predicted model, not a curated record.
GCUCGGGGCGGCCGUGGGGAGCGGCUGAAGUGCUGCAGAGCUCGGCCUGCACGGAAAGGCCGCUUCCUGCUCCGAGUCGCUGGCUCAGGGGUGACGGGAAACUUCAGGCUUUCGAUCCUGUGUCGCUCACGCGAGGAGCUCUGUUACAGUGGAAGGGCUGGAUGUAGCUGCUCCAGGCGCUGCUGAGUUCGGGACCUGCGAGGCGUUCAGCAAGGAUUUCUUCUGACAGAGAAAGGAAAAGCGAGUUAAAUGAAACCUGCAGUAAGGACCAUAAGCAUUUGAUUAAGAGGCACGCUCACCUGCUGCUCUGAACAUUUAAUCUCAAGGAGCUGUGAAAAAGCUUUACUAGCAUUGACUCUGUUAUCUCAGCUCUUCCUGCAGCGUUCUGAUCCUUACUUGGUAACUUCUUUGGCCAGUUCAAAAAAAUAGAGCAUGUGCUUUCCCUCACCACACUGUGUUUUUCCAGGAAGGUUUAUUGGUCAGGAACAGAACAGUGACAACGUUUGGGCAUAGGCUGGCCCUGAGUACGUGUAGGCUGUCAGUUAGACUACCAGCCACGGUAGCAGGCGAUGAGGCCCCUGGGGCGCAGCACCAGCCGGCAGCAGUUGAGCAGCGCACAAGGAGCGGUGCUUCUAGGGGAAAGAAGGAGGCUGCACGCUGCUAACUCGUGACCGCGGCACCGAACGACCCGGUCCCGGGCAUUCAGCGCACGUGACAGCAGCCGCCCGCUUGCCAGCGA